RNAcentral lists this transfer RNA (77 nucleotides) under candidate division MSBL1 archaeon SCGC-AAA261D19. RNAcentral describes it as "tRNA-Thr". It matches the Rfam family "tRNA". Rfam says of the family: Transfer RNA (tRNA) molecules are approximately 80 nucleotides in length. Their secondary structure includes four short double-helical elements and three loops (D, anti-codon, and T loops). Further hydrogen bonds mediate the characteristic L-shaped molecular structure. tRNAs have two regions of fundamental functional importance: the anti-codon, which is responsible for specific mRNA codon recognition, and the 3' end, to which the tRNAs corresponding amino acid is attached (by aminoacyl-tRNA synthetases). tRNAs cope with the degeneracy of the genetic code in two manners: having more than one tRNA (with a specific anti-codon) for a particular amino acid; and 'wobble' base-pairing, i.e. permitting non-standard base-pairing at the 3rd anti-codon position. The record is from RNAcentral. RNAcentral also lists the same sequence under 1 other name. Lineage: Archaea; Methanobacteriati; Methanobacteriota.
GCCUCGGUAGCUCAGUUGGUUAGAGCGAUCGCCUCGUAAGCGAUAGGUCGCGGGUUCGAAUCCCGCCCGGGGCUCCA